AUAUAUUAUUUUAUUAUCAUUCUAAUCAAAAUUUCUGGUCACACCUUAUAGCAUAGGGGUUUCAGAGGGCCCCGAGAUAUUUUGUUUUGAUCUUAUAUUUCUCGAAUCUAUGAAAAUGUUAUUCCACUAGUGUUUAUAUUAUUUUCUGAAAUGCAUAUUUUUGAAUGAUUUGAUAUAUGCUCAAUAUUUUCAUGCAAAACGGAAAAUGAAUUUUGGUAUUAUUGACCCUAUUUGUAUUGUUCUACUCUCCAAAAAUAUUAUCGAUCACGUCUAUCUUUG
RNAcentral lists this unclassified non-coding RNA (279 nucleotides) under Hevea brasiliensis (rubber tree). The record is from RNAcentral. Lineage: Eukaryota; Viridiplantae; Streptophyta; Magnoliopsida; Malpighiales; Euphorbiaceae.